CCUUCUUCAGAGCAGCGGGGACCAACUGCCUCCGACCAGGUGAGAUGGUUCCGUCCCUCUGCUGCCUCUGACCAGGUGAGAUGGUUCCGUCCCUCUGCUGCCUCCGACCAGGUGAGAUGGUUCCGUCCCUCUCCUGCCCCUGACCAGGUGAGAUGGUUCCGUCUGUCUCCUGCCCCUGACCAGGUGAGAUGGUUCCGUCUGUCUCCUGCCCCUGACCAGGUGAGAUGGUUCCGUCUGUCUCCUGCCCCUGACCAGGUGAGAUGGUUCCGUCCGUCUCCUGCCCACUGACCAGCUCCCACAGCUGU
Oncorhynchus tshawytscha (Chinook salmon) is the source of this 305-nucleotide long non-coding RNA. The record is from Ensembl. Lineage: Eukaryota; Metazoa; Chordata; Actinopteri; Salmoniformes; Salmonidae.